AUUGAACGCUGGCGGCAUGAUUUACACAUGCAGGUCGAACGGUAACAGGCCGCAAGGUGCUGACGAGUGGCGAACGGGUGAGUAAUGCAUCGGAACGUGCCCAGUCGUGGGGGAUAACUACUCGAAAGAGUAGCUAAUACCGCAUACGAUCUAUGGAUGAAAGCGGGGGACCGUAAGGCCUCGCGCGAUUGGAGCGGCCGAUGUCAGAUUAGGUAGUUGGUGGGGUAAAGGCUCACCAAGCCAACGAUCUGUAGCUGGUCUGAGAGGACGACCAGCCACACUGGGACUGAGACACGGCCCAGACUCCUACGGGAGGCAGCAGUGGGGAAUUUUGGACAAUGGGCGCAAGCCUGAUCCAGCAAUGCCGCGUGCAGGAAGAAGGCCUUCGGGUUGUAAACUGCUUUUGCACGGAACGAAACGGCUCUGGUUAAUACCCGGGGCUAAUGACGGUACCGUAAGAAUAAGCACCGGCUAACUACGUG
This 482-nucleotide ribosomal RNA is filed under the name uncultured bacterium. RNAcentral's name for it is "partial 16S ribosomal RNA". It matches the Rfam family "Bacterial small subunit ribosomal RNA", at positions 30 to 507 of the family's 1533-position model. The record is from RNAcentral.